RNAcentral lists this ribosomal RNA (497 nucleotides) under uncultured bacterium. Its description in RNAcentral is "partial 16S ribosomal RNA". It matches the Rfam family "Bacterial small subunit ribosomal RNA", at positions 28 to 507 of the family's 1533-position model. The record is from RNAcentral.
GAUGAACGCUGGCGGCGUGCCUAAUACAUGCAAGUCGAGCGAACAGACGAGGAGCUUGCUCCUCUGACGUUAGUGGCGGACGGGUGAGUUACACGUGGAUAACCUACCUAUAAGACUGGGAUAACUUCGGGAAACCGGAGCUAAUACCGGAUAAUAUAUUGAACCGCAUGGUUCAAUAGUGAAAGACGGUUUUGCUGUCACUUAUAGAUGGAUCCGCGCCGCAUUAGCUAGUUGGUAAGGUAACGGCUUACCAAGGCAACGAUGCGUAGCCGACCUGAGAGGGUGAUCGGCCACACUGGAACUGAGACACGGUCCAGACUCCUACGGGAGGCAGCAGUAGGGAAUCUUCCGCAAUGGGCGAAAGCUUGACGGAGCAACGCCGCGUGAGUGAUGAAGGUCUUCGGAUCGUAAAACUCUGUUAUUAGGGAAGAACAAAUGUGUAAGUAACUAUGCACGUCUUGACGGUACCUAAUCAGAAAGCCACGGCUAACUACGUG